This 468-nucleotide ribosomal RNA is filed under the name uncultured bacterium. Its description in RNAcentral is "partial 16S ribosomal RNA". It matches the Rfam family "Bacterial small subunit ribosomal RNA", at positions 28 to 507 of the family's 1533-position model. The record is from RNAcentral.
GACGAACGCUGGCGGCGUGCUUAACACAUGCAAGUCGAACGGAAAGGCCCUGCUUUUGUGGGGUGCUCGACUGGCGAACGGGUGAGUAACACGUGAGUAACCUGCCCUUGACUUUGGGAUAACUUCAGGAAACUGGGGCUAAUACCGGAUAGGAGCUCCUGCUGCAUGGUGGGGGUUGGAAAGUUUCGGCGGUUGGGGAUGGACUCGCGGCUUAUCAGCUUGUUGGUGGGGUAGUGGCUUACCAAGGCUUUGACGGGUAGCCGGCCUGAGAGGGUGACCGGCCACAUUGGGACUGAGAUACGGCCCAGACUCCUACGGGAGGCAGCAGUGGGGAAUAUUGCACAAUGGGCGGAAGCCUGAUGCAGCAACGCCGCGUGCGGGAUGACGGCCUUCGGGUUGUAAACCGCUUUCGCCUGUGACGAAGCGUGAGUGACGGUAAUGGGUAAAGAAGCACCGGCUAACUACGUG